Molecule: long non-coding RNA, 330 nt
Filed under: Vulpes vulpes (red fox)
Lineage: Eukaryota; Metazoa; Chordata; Mammalia; Carnivora; Canidae
Description: lncRNA (ENSVVUG00000024533.1)
Source: RNAcentral
UGGAGCGGAAGCUCAGAGAAAACAUCGUUUAUUACCAAUUUAUUUCCUUUUCAGAAGUGUCUCUGUGAUGCCAAACAUCUGGACGGAAAGCAAGAAGGCUUCGAGAAUCCUUUGCAAAGAUUGUUUUUCUCACCCAUCCAUUCAUUCAUUCAAAAAAACAUUUAUCAGUCAGAGACUCUGGGAAGGGGUUAGAAAUUUUGAGAUGUUGAACAUCAAUUGUCCAACUCAAAUUCAGCCAAAACAACAACCAAAAGCCAAUAAUGAAGAAAAAUGUUGUUUAGCAAAAUAUGUUCAUAAAAGGAUCAAGUUCAAAUAAGAGGGCAGAGACUG